Molecule: small nuclear RNA, 105 nt
Organism: Heterocephalus glaber (naked mole-rat)
Lineage: Eukaryota; Metazoa; Chordata; Mammalia; Rodentia; Bathyergidae
Source: Ensembl
AUGCUUACUUUAGCACCACAUGGACUAAAAUUGGAAGGAUACAGAGCAGGUCGGCAUGGCCCCUACACAGGGUGGACACACCAACCCGAGAUGUUCCAUGUUUUG